UACGUAGGGUGCAAGCGUUAAUCGGAAUUACUGGGCGUAAAGCGUGCGCAGGCGGCGAUGUAAGUCAGGUGUGAAAUCCCCGGGCUCAACCUGGGAACUGCAUUUGUGACUGCAUCGCUGGAGUACGGGAGAGGGGGAUGGAAUUCCGCGUGUAGCAGUGAAAUGCGUAGAUAUGCGGAGGAACACCGAUGGCGAAGGCAAUCCCCUGGGCCUGUACUGACGCUCAUGCACGAAAGCGUGGGGAGCAAACAGG
RNAcentral lists this ribosomal RNA (253 nucleotides) under uncultured bacterium. Its description in RNAcentral is "partial 16S ribosomal RNA". It matches the Rfam family "Bacterial small subunit ribosomal RNA", at positions 524 to 776 of the family's 1533-position model. The record is from RNAcentral.